GACGAACGCUGGCGGCGUGCCUAAUACAUGCAAGUUGAGCGCUGAAGGUUGGUACUUGUACCAACUGGAUGAGCAGCGAACGGGUGAGUAACGCGUGGGGAAUCUGCCUUUGAGCGGGGGACAACAUUUGGAAACGAAUGCUAAUACCGCAUAAAAACUUUAAACACAAGUUUUAAGUUUGAAAGAUGCAAUUGCAUCACUCAAAGAUGAUCCCGCGUUGUAUUAGCUAGUUGGUGAGGUAAAGGCUCACCAAGGCGAUGAUACAUAGCCGACCUGAGAGGGUGAUCGGCCACAUUGGGACUGAGACCCGGCCCAAACUCCUACGGGAGGCAGCAGUAGGGAAUCUUCGGCAAUGGACGAAAGUCUGACCGAGCAACGCCGCGUGAGUGAAGAAGGUUUUCGGAUCGUAAAACUCUGUUGGUAGAGAAGAACGUUGGUGAGAGUGGAAAGCUCAUCAAGUGACGGUAACUACACAGAAAGGGACGGCUAACUACGUG
Molecule: ribosomal RNA, 497 nt
Filed under: uncultured bacterium
Lineage: Bacteria
Description: partial 16S ribosomal RNA
Rfam family: Bacterial small subunit ribosomal RNA
Source: RNAcentral